This 253-nucleotide ribosomal RNA is filed under the name uncultured bacterium. Its description in RNAcentral is "partial 16S ribosomal RNA". It matches the Rfam family "Bacterial small subunit ribosomal RNA", at positions 524 to 776 of the family's 1533-position model. The record is from RNAcentral.
GACGGAGGAUGCAAGUGUUAUCCGGAAUCACUGGGCGUAAAGCGUCUGUAAGUCGUUCAAUAAGUCAACUGUUAAAUCUUGAGGCUCAACUUCAAAAUCGCAGUCGAAACUAUUAAACUAGAGUAUAGUAGGGGUAAAGGGAAUUUCCAGUGGAGCGGUGAAAUGCGUAGAGAUUGGAAAGAACACCAAUGGCGAAAGCACUUUACUGGGCUAUUACUGACACUGAGAGACGAAAGCUAGGGUAGCAAAUGGG